CCUACGGGAGGCAGCAGUGAGGAAUAUUGGUCAAUGGGCGCGAGCCUGAUCCAGCCAAGUAGCGUGAAGGAUGACUGCCCUACGGGUUGUAAACUUCUUUUAUAAAGGAAUAAAGUGAGGCACGUGUGCCUUUUUGUAUGUACUUUAUGAAUAAGGAUCGUCUAACUCCGUGCCAGCAGCCGCGGUAAUACGGAGGGUCCGAGCGUUACCCGGAUUUACUGGGUUUAAAGGGAGCGUAGAUGGGUUGGUAAGUCAGUUGUGAAAGUCUGCGGCUCAACCGUAAACUUGCAAUUGAUACUGGCAGCCUUGAGUGCAGGUGAGGUAGGCGGAAUUCGUGGUGUAGCGGUGAAAUGCUUAGAUAUCACGAAGAACUCCGAUUGCGAAGGCAGCCUACUAAACUGCCACUGACAUUGAUGCUCGAAAGUGUGGGUAUCAAACAGGAUUAGAUACCCCAGUAGUC
RNAcentral lists this ribosomal RNA (460 nucleotides) under uncultured bacterium. RNAcentral describes it as "partial 16S ribosomal RNA". It matches the Rfam family "Bacterial small subunit ribosomal RNA", at positions 338 to 795 of the family's 1533-position model. The record is from RNAcentral.